This 296-nucleotide long non-coding RNA is filed under the name Rattus norvegicus (Norway rat). RNAcentral describes it as "long non-coding RNA NONRATT007526". Lineage: Eukaryota; Metazoa; Chordata; Mammalia; Rodentia; Muridae. The record is from RNAcentral.
GAAGAGUUUCUUGCUCAACAGAAGCAGGAACAAAAGAAUCAGCUGUUUCAUGCGGUGCAGAGAUUGCAAAGAGUGCAAAACCAGCUGAAGAGUAUGCGGCACGCGGCAGCAGACGCCAAGCCUGAGAGUAAGUGGAGCCCUGAGUGACGUGUACUCGAGAACAGGCAUUCACUGCAGGACAGCCCUGAUCAUGGUUGGCGGCCAUUAACCGACUCCGCAUUUUAGGGCAUCAUUGCUUUCCUACCUGGUCAAAGGGAAUCCUGAUUUAAAAAAAUAUCCAUGGGUUUUCAAAAAUA